AAGCAGGACCUCAUAAGGAAAUCUACCCCUAUGUCAUCCAGGAACUUAGACCAACUUUGAAUGAACUGGGAAUCUCCACUCCAGAGGAACUGGGCCUCGACAAAGUGUAAACCCCAUGGAUGGGCUUCCCAAGGACUUAUUGAUAAUGCUACUUGAUUGUAAACAGUCACCUGGAAAUACUGAUGAUAACAUAUUACCUUAUUCGAACAAGUUUUCCUUUGUUGAGUACCAAACCAUGUAAUGUAACUUGGACUUUAAUAAAAGGGAAAUGAGUUUGAACUGAAA
This is a non-coding RNA of Odocoileus virginianus texanus, 285 nucleotides long. The record is from RefSeq and is a predicted model, not a curated record. Lineage: Eukaryota; Metazoa; Chordata; Mammalia; Artiodactyla; Cervidae.